This 632-nucleotide ribosomal RNA is filed under the name Bacillus sp. R7(2014). RNAcentral describes it as "bacterial SSU rRNA". It matches the Rfam family "Bacterial small subunit ribosomal RNA", at positions 153 to 772 of the family's 1533-position model. Lineage: Bacteria; Bacillati; Bacillota; Bacilli; Caryophanales; Bacillaceae. The record is from RNAcentral.
GAAACCGGGGCUAAUACCGGAUGGUUCCUUCCUCCGCAUGGAGGAAGGCGGAAAGACGGUUUCGGCUGUCACUUACAGAUGGGCCCGCGGCGCAUUAGCUAGUUGGUGGGGUAAUGGCCUACCAAGGCAACGAUGCGUAGCCGACCUGAGAGGGUGAUCGGCCACACUGGGACUGAGACACGGCCCAGACUCCUACGGGAGGCAGCAGUAGGGAAUCUUCCGCAAUGGACGAAAGUCUGACGGAGCAACGCCGCGUGAGCGAAGAAGGCCUUCGGGUCGUAAAGCUCUGUUGUAAGGGAAGAACAAGCAUCGGUUAACUGCCGGUGCCCUGACGGUACCUUACCAGAAAGCCACGGCUAACUACGUGCCAGCAGCCGCGGUAAUACGUAGGUGGCAAGCGUUGUCCGGAAUUAUUGGGCGUAAAGCGCGCGCAGGCGGUCCUUUAAGUCUGAUGUGAAAGCCCACGGCUCAACCGUGGAGGGUCAUUGGAAACUGGGGGACUUGAGUGCAGAAGAGGAAAGCGGAAUUCCACGUGUAGCGGUGAAAUGCGUAGAGAUGUGGAGGAACACCAGUGGCGAAGGCGGCUUUCUGGUCUGUAACUGACGCUGAGGCGCGAAAGCGUGGGGAGCAAA